GCCUGGGUGGCUCAUUCGGUUGAGCGUCUGACUUCAGCUUAGGUCAUGAUCUCACAGUCCGUGGGUUCUAGCCCCACGUCAGGCU
Molecule: transfer RNA, 85 nt
Filed under: Felis catus (domestic cat)
Lineage: Eukaryota; Metazoa; Chordata; Mammalia; Carnivora; Felidae
Rfam family: tRNA
About the family: Transfer RNA (tRNA) molecules are approximately 80 nucleotides in length. Their secondary structure includes four short double-helical elements and three loops (D, anti-codon, and T loops).
Source: Rfam by way of RNAcentral